RNAcentral lists this ribosomal RNA (206 nucleotides) under uncultured bacterium. RNAcentral's name for it is "partial 16S ribosomal RNA". It matches the Rfam family "Bacterial small subunit ribosomal RNA", at positions 568 to 773 of the family's 1533-position model. The record is from RNAcentral.
CUCGUAGGUGGCCAACUAAGUCAGACGUGAAAUCCCUCGGCUUAACCGGGGAACUGCAUCUGAUACUGGAUGGCUUGAGAUUGGGAGAGGGAUGCGGAAUUCCAGGUGUAGCGGUGAAAUGCGUAGAUAUCUGGAGGAACACCGGUGGCGAAGGCGGCAUCCUGGACCAACACUGACACUGAGGAGCGAAAGCCAGGGGAGCAAAC